GCCCUUGUGGCGGAAUGGUAGACGCGGCAGACUCAAAAUCUGCUUUCUGCAAGGAAGUGGGGGUUCGAGUCCCUCCAAGGGCACCA
Molecule: transfer RNA, 86 nt
Filed under: Alphaproteobacteria bacterium
Lineage: Bacteria; Pseudomonadati; Pseudomonadota; Alphaproteobacteria
Description: tRNA-Leu
Rfam family: tRNA
About the family: Transfer RNA (tRNA) molecules are approximately 80 nucleotides in length. Their secondary structure includes four short double-helical elements and three loops (D, anti-codon, and T loops). Further hydrogen bonds mediate the characteristic L-shaped molecular structure. tRNAs have two regions of fundamental functional importance: the anti-codon, which is responsible for specific mRNA codon recognition, and the 3' end, to which the tRNAs corresponding amino acid is attached (by aminoacyl-tRNA synthetases). tRNAs cope with the degeneracy of the genetic code in two manners: having more than one tRNA (with a specific anti-codon) for a particular amino acid; and 'wobble' base-pairing, i.e. permitting non-standard base-pairing at the 3rd anti-codon position.
Source: RNAcentral